RNAcentral lists this long non-coding RNA (608 nucleotides) under Mytilus galloprovincialis (Mediterranean mussel). The record is from RNAcentral. Lineage: Eukaryota; Metazoa; Mollusca; Bivalvia; Mytilida; Mytilidae.
AUAUAUACCAUAACAGAAAUAACCAGAUGCUCCGCAGGGCGCAGCUUUAUACGACCGUAGAGGUUGAACCCUGAACGGUUGGGGCAAGUAUGGACACAACAUUCAAGCUGGAUUCAGCUCUAAAUUUGGAUUGUGAUUAAAUAGUUGACACAGCAUAGGUUUCUGACACAGAAUGAAUGUGGUCUAAUGAACUUAAAUUAUUUUUUUUGCCUUUGAGCAAUUCACUAUGCUGUUGAAUAUUAAUCCUCUCAAAAAAAUGUUUGAAGAAAUUGUCUUUCUAUUUAUGAAAUCUGAAAUGAGAAAAAUUUACCCCCCCCCCAUUUUUUUUUCACAUCCCCCUUUCCCUUUUUCCAAAACUGAUCUCAAUUCAAAUUUCUAAUGGUGAAUAUACAUUGUAUAUUGUAUAAAACAAUGAUUUAAGUUGAUUCAACUACUAUUCUGGACAAAGAAAGAUAACUCCAAUUGAAAAUUUCUUGCUAUUGCACAAUAUUGUGCAAUUAGAUAUUUCUUACUAUUGCACAAUACUGUGCAAUUGAAAAUAUUUGCUAUUGCACAAUACUGUGCAAUUGAAGAUUUCUUGCUAUUGUGCAAUACUGUGCAAUUGAAAA